AGAUUGAACGCUGGCGGCAUGCUUUACACAUGCAAGUCGAACGGCAGCGCGGGGCAACCUGGCGGCGAGUGGCGAACGGGUGAGUAAUAUAUCGGAACGUACCCAAGAGUGGGGGAUAACGUAGCGAAAGUUACGCUAAUACCGCAUACGAUCUAAGGAUGAAAGCAGGGGACCGCAAGGCCUUGUGCUCCUGGGAGCGGCCGAUAUCUGAUUAGCUAGUUGGUAGGGUAAAGCCUACCAAGGCUACGAUCAGUAGCUGGUCUGAGAGGACGACCAGCCACACGUGGAACUGAGACACGGUCCAGACUCCGUACGGGAGGCAGCAGGUGGGUAUUUGGACAAGUGGCGCAAGCCUGACUCCAGCAAGUCGCCGCGUGAGUGAAGGAGGUCGUUCGGUAGUAACGUCUUCGUUU
This 413-nucleotide ribosomal RNA is filed under the name uncultured soil bacterium. RNAcentral describes it as "bacterial SSU rRNA". It matches the Rfam family "Bacterial small subunit ribosomal RNA", at positions 26 to 440 of the family's 1533-position model. The record is from RNAcentral.